GACGAACGCUGGCGGCGUGCUUAACACAUGCAAGUCGAACGGAAAGGCCCUGCUUGCAGGGUACUCGAGUGGCGAACGGGUGAGUAACACGUGGGUGAUCUGCCCUGCACUUCGGGAUAAGCCUGGGAAACUGGGUCUAAUACCGGAUAGGAGCCAUUUUUAGUGUGAUGGUUGGAAAGUUUUUUCGGUGUAGGAUGAGCUCGCGGCCUAUCAGCGUGUUGGUGGGGUAAUGGCCUACCAAGGCGGCGACGGGUAGCCGGCCUGGGAGGGUGGACGGCCACCUUGGGACUGAGAUACGGCCCAGACUCCUACGGGUGGCAGCAGUGGGGAAUAUUGCCCAAUGGGCGCCAGCCUGAUGCAGCGACGCCGCGUGGGGGAUGACGGCCUUCGGGUUGUAAACUCCUUUCGCUAGGGACGAAGCUUUUUGUGACGGUACCUAGAUAAGAAGCACCGGCUAACUACGUG
Molecule: ribosomal RNA, 465 nt
Filed under: uncultured bacterium
Lineage: Bacteria
Description: partial 16S ribosomal RNA
Rfam family: Bacterial small subunit ribosomal RNA
Source: RNAcentral